This 264-nucleotide ribosomal RNA is filed under the name uncultured archaeon. RNAcentral describes it as "partial 16S ribosomal RNA". It matches the Rfam family "Archaeal small subunit ribosomal RNA", at positions 716 to 982 of the family's 1478-position model. The record is from RNAcentral.
AGUCACUGACAUUAGAUACCCGCGUAGUCCCAGCUGUAAACAAUGUGCGUUAGGUGUGUCGGUAACCACGUGUUACUGAUGCGCCGAAGAGAAAUCGUGAAACGCACCACCUGGGAAGUACGGUCGCAAGGCUGAAACUUAAAGGAAUUGGCGGGGAGCACCACAACAGGUGGAGCCUGCGGUUUAAUUGGAUUCAACGCCGGACAUCUCACCGGAUAAGACAGCUGAAUGAUUGUCAAUCUGAAGGUUUUACAUGACUAGCUG